RNAcentral lists this long non-coding RNA (1055 nucleotides) under Sinocyclocheilus anshuiensis. Its description in RNAcentral is "lncRNA (ENSSANG00000036034.1)". Lineage: Eukaryota; Metazoa; Chordata; Actinopteri; Cypriniformes; Cyprinidae. The record is from RNAcentral.
UGGAAAACCGCGGACUUGGCAACACUGCCCGGCAGCGUUUUGAAAGAGAAACAUCACAACACUCUGCAGUACCACAUCCCACAGAGACAGAGCUCUCGCACACAUCUACAGCCAACUCAACAAACACCAACAGCUGCUGCAUGUGGAGGAUUCCCAGACCACACUAGACUAGAUAGUUCAGCUCACCUCGUCUGGAUCCCGAUCCGCGCAGAAGUGCUUCUAGACACGAGCAUCGCCUCCAGCUCACCUGCUUCUGAUCGCAGCGCAUUCACACAGCCUUAUAAACACCUUCAGAGGGAUUCCCUGGAAUCUGGCUGAGACUUUCCGCGCAUCCGACGGAAUUCCCCAUGCAUCGGGAUACGGAGGAAAGCAGCCGAAGUUCAAGAUUAGUUAUAUCAGAUUAGUUCUUUGUUAUUUCUGGGUGAAACGUUCCGUAAAUUCUGAGGAAACGACCCCUGAAACUACAACUGAAAUCUGUCUAGAUUCAGCAGUGAGUGAGUGAAUGAACACGAAAGUGAAAUCAUUAUUACUCGCGUGCGAGAGCAGCUACUCAACACUAGAUAGCGUCAGGGUUAUUAACAACAUCAGAGCAGUGUUUGCAGCAGGAUACAUCUCAUCUAAAAUUGUUUGAACAUUUCUUAAUAUUGUAUUAAUUUUGCAGUUCAUGGCUUGAUUUAUGCAGUUUAUAUUUAUUGAUAAGCUGAAUUCAAAAUUAACUCAAUAAAAUACUAAGUAACUUUCCCCAUAUAUGGAACAAUACAGGCUACAUUUGAAUAUAGAAUAUAAAUAUUGUUUCUUUAGACUUUUAUAAAAAAGCAGUGUGGAACACUGACUAUAAACUCACCAUUCAGCACUCUGGUCCUCAAUAAGAAAAAUAUAAAGACAUAAUGUAGACUAUUGUUGAUUAUUAUUAAUUAGUCAUUAAAAAGACAAGAAAUUGUGUCAUAAAAAUCCCCUUGUGCUAUUCCAUAAAUCAAACACUUCAGUUAAAAUCAUCCUUUUAGGAAAUUAACCCCUUUUUCUGUUUUAUUAUGAUUUUCUUUCAGUCCUGUUAC